GGACGGUGAUCGAGCGGCAGGGACAGCAGUCUUCCGCGGCCCCGGCCUUUUGGACCGACCCGCUCGUGCCGCCGUAGCAUGGGUCUCCCUGGACGCGCUACCCGCAGGGUCUGGUCUGGGGGCGCGCGGGGGCGGGGAGUAGGGACCAGGAACGGCCGUGCCUGCGUGACACGUGACUGUCGGCCGAGCUCCGGGGCAGCCAUCUUCAGUUUUCCCGGGCCGCAGGCGAAGAACCGUCCGGGAUCUGGAUAGACUCUAUUCAGUCGCCUCCCCACCAGGCCCGGGGACCAGCCCUCACCUGCAAUCCGCUAGUCUACAGCGGGGGUACAGCGGCGCCGGCGAUACCGGGAGGACAGGCUGUCUCCAGAGCCAGAACCUAAAGGCUGAGAAUUGGAGAGCCGCUCUCCUGGAGCUGAUGGCUUCAGCUUUUCCCCAGGGGCGGAAGUUGGGGAAAGGAGUUCCCGUUCCUAAGGCGCCCGCAUCGCUCCUCCUGCCGCUUCCCUGUUCUGACCCAUUCCCGGGGACAGAGGAUGAAGGUUGCUGAAGUUGUUUGGACAGCCGUCGCCCUCCUCCAUGCUUUUCUCCUGCUGGUGGUUAGCUUGGAUGGUAGCUUGUUUAGUCACCUGGGGUCCUGGAAUCUCUGAACCUGCAACCUCAUUACCCGAGAAUUCUUUAGAACGGCACAUUCACGACCACACCUAGACCUACGGAAUCAGAAACGCCUCUAGUGGGGUCCUUCCCGAAAUCCGGUUAACAAGCUCCCAAGGUGAAUCUAAUGGCCGCUUUCCCUAAGCUGUAGAGACCGGUUUUCACGUACGACGCUGAAAACUUAGCGUCCUCUUCCCCAAACGGUGAAAAAUCAGAUUAAAAAUGCGUCUGCUCCCAUGUGAUCUCU
RNAcentral lists this long non-coding RNA (895 nucleotides) under Rattus norvegicus (Norway rat). Its description in RNAcentral is "long non-coding RNA NONRATT001680". The record is from RNAcentral. Lineage: Eukaryota; Metazoa; Chordata; Mammalia; Rodentia; Muridae.